GACGAACGCUGGCGGCGUGCUUAACACAUGCAAGUCACGGGGGCGUCGCAAGAGCAACCGGCGAACGGGUGCGUAACACGUGAACAACCUGCCCUCGUGUGGGGGAGUAGCCAUGCUAACGCGUGGGUAAUACCGCAUACGUUCCUCUGGGGAGGUCCCUGGGGGAGGAAAGCUCCGGCGGCACGGGGAGGGUUCGCGGCCUAUCAGCUAGUUGGUGCGGUAACGGCGCACCAAGGCGA
This 239-nucleotide ribosomal RNA is filed under the name uncultured bacterium. RNAcentral's name for it is "partial 16S ribosomal RNA". It matches the Rfam family "Bacterial small subunit ribosomal RNA", at positions 28 to 276 of the family's 1533-position model. The record is from RNAcentral.